AACGCACAUUGCGCCCGCCAGUAUUCUGGCGGGCAUGCCUGUUCGAGCGUCAUUUCAACCCUCAGGUCCCCCUUUUCGGAGGGGGAGACACCCUGGUGUUGGGGGACGGCCUGGCCUUCUGCGCCGCGCCGCCCCCGAAAUGAAUUGGCGGCCUCGUCGCGUGCCACCCCUGCGUAGUAGCACAACCUCGCAACGGGAGCCCGACGCGGCCACUGCCGUAAAACGCCCAACUUUUAAGAGUUGACCUCGAAUCAGGUAGGAAUACCCGCUGAACUUAA
This 278-nucleotide unclassified non-coding RNA is filed under the name Metarhizium sp. Its description in RNAcentral is "partial contains 5.8S ribosomal RNA, internal transcribed spacer 2, and large subunit ribosomal RNA". The stretch from base 1 to 52 matches the Rfam family "5.8S ribosomal RNA", at positions 103 to 154 of the family's 154-position model. Lineage: Eukaryota; Fungi; Ascomycota; Sordariomycetes; Hypocreales; Clavicipitaceae. The record is from RNAcentral. RNAcentral also lists the same sequence under 1 other name.